Molecule: ribosomal RNA, 424 nt
Filed under: Staphylococcus aureus
Lineage: Bacteria; Bacillati; Bacillota; Bacilli; Caryophanales; Staphylococcaceae
Description: partial 23S ribosomal RNA
Rfam family: Bacterial large subunit ribosomal RNA
Source: RNAcentral
UUCAUAGAGUGUAAAGGCAUAAGGGAGCUUGACUGCGAGACCUACAAGUCGAGCAGGGUCGAAAGACGGACUUAGUGAUCCGGUGGUUCCGCAUGGAAGGGCCAUCGCUCAACGGAUAAAAGCUACCCCGGGGAUAACAGGCUUAUCUCCCCCAAGAGUUCACAUCGACGGGGAGGUUUGGCACCUCGAUGUCGGCUCAUCGCAUCCUGGGGCUGUAGUCGGUCCCAAGGGUUGGGCUGUUCGCCCAUUAAAGCGGUACGCGAGCUGGGUUCAGAACGUCGUGAGACAGUUCGGUCCCUAUCCGUCGUGGGCGUAGGAAAUUUGAGAGGAGCUGUCCUUAGUACGAGAGGACCGGGAUGGACAUACCUCUGGUGUACCAGUUGUCGUGCCAACGGCAUAGCUGGGUAGCUAUGUGUGGACGGGA